UAUACACAUGAUAUUUGCUUCUUCUUUUAUGACAAGGAAAACUCAGUGCUGAUGGUCAACAACUUACAAACUGUAUGGUGACUUCUAUCUCUACAUGAACGUGACAAUACAUAUCAAAAGAUAAGCAAGUCAGCAAGACUCAGAAUUAUUUAGAUACAUCUCUCUUAUUUCCUCUGUUUAUUGAAGAGUUUUCUUCAAAGAGAAAAGAAGGUAAUAAAUACUAGUAUGAUGUUGCAAUUGUGCUCAUAUACAAGUAGUUGCUAUAUAUUUCAAUGGAAUUUGAAGAUGAGGCUAAUCCACUGGGAUUUCCACCUCCAUUUUCAAUCCUGGAUGUUCCAGUAUCUGCAUCAAAAAUCAAAACCUAAACUCAAUCAGAAAACACUAUCAUGAUCAGAGUUAUUACGUUCAUUCAAACCUUUUCUAGAGAAAAAAAAAAAAAGACUAAGAGGAAAAUGGUUAAGAGAGAUGAACCUUGACGAAGUCGUCCAACAGAAGAGAAGACUCUUUUGUGUAACCAGCUUCUUGCAACAGCUGACUUAGAACUUCCUGCAAUCAGAGGAGCUACUGAGGAAAGUUCGGUUUUGCCAUAGCUUCUGCGUGCAUUUAUUCCACGUCUAUGCCUUCAACUAAACCACAAAGACUAGGCCAGAAGGGCAAACAGAAAAAAAUUUGGUGCCAGUAACUUUCUUAAGCUAUUUAAACACUACCGAAUAGCAGAAACCCCUUGACUAUGAGAACCCGAAUCAAACUUCUUGGCCACACAACCACAUAACUUCAGCAUAAACUCAUUCAAUACGCAAAAAGUAAACUGAUAGUGGUAGUUUAGCUCAAUCUUAGUUAACAGCAAACAUGCAUCACAAAAUUAAAUCACCUCCACUAUAAAAUGUUGCGCACUAUAAUACCUCUCGCUGCUUGUCUGAUAUAAACGUGCCACUCAAAUCCUGGAGCACUUCUAUUAGGUCUUUGAAAGUCACCUUCCCGUUGCAAUCAGAAUCGUAUACUUUAAAGAUAACUGGACAAGAACAAGAGAAAGUCAAGGGACCAUAUGAGGAGACUGAUAGAAAUCAGAAGAAGGGAAAGAAUAGGCAAACACUAAUGCACCUUUUAACAAAAAACACUUUGUAAUUGAGCUCAGGCAGUUAGACAACUUAGAGGUACCAUCAACUACAGAAGAAAAUAAUGAUGAAACUCUAGCAAUAUCCUACUAAUUUUUGCAAAGUUUUACGGAGCACUGACAGAUUUAGUAUUUGAUAUGAUCAAGAACAGUGAAUAAUUGUACUAAUUCUGGUGAAGUCGACAUAUGAUAUUCACAUUUUCAGGUGAUCUCCCUUAACAGUCAACAUGUUUAUCAGUUUUAAUUCCUUUGAAUUGUAUUAUCCAACUUGAUUUAUCAUCAAGGAAUCCCAUAUAAUUGCAGAGCAAGUGAGAGCUAUCAAAGUUUAAUAACCUCAAUAUUAAGCCAUUUAAUGGAAACUCAAUAUCAUAUCACUGAAAUAAAUUUCAGAAAGCACUGGGACUUAAUUCUACCAAAAUCACAUAUUCAUGGUAGAUUGUUAGAAAAACCAACUCUAUAAGCAAUGCAUCAAUCACUCCCUUAAAAAAGCCUAGCUGAGCCACGACGCUUACUCUCGAUUUUCUGUGGUACAGUUGCUUUAGCACUGAAAGCAGACAAGAAUGCAACAAAGUCCUUGAAAUUCAGCCCAUCUGCCAUUUUAAGCAACCUCUG
Long non-coding RNA from Salvia miltiorrhiza (redroot sage), 1726 nucleotides. RefSeq lists it as uncharacterized. The transcript is spliced from 2 exons. Lineage: Eukaryota; Viridiplantae; Streptophyta; Magnoliopsida; Lamiales; Lamiaceae. The record is from RefSeq and is a predicted model, not a curated record.